Molecule: ribosomal RNA, 406 nt
Filed under: uncultured bacterium
Lineage: Bacteria
Description: bacterial SSU rRNA
Rfam family: Bacterial small subunit ribosomal RNA
Source: RNAcentral
UAGGGAAUAUUGCACAAUGGGGGAAACCCUGAUGCAGCGACGCCGCGUGAGUGAUGAAGGCCUUCGGGUCGUAAAGCUCUGUUCUACGAGACGAAACAAAUGACGGUAUCGUAGAAGAAAGGACCGGCUAACUUCGUGCCAGCAGCCGCGGUAAUACGAGGGGUCCUAGCGUUGUUCGGAAUCAUUGGGCGUAAAGCGUCUGUAGGCGGCUUUGUAAGUCAGGUGUGAAAGCCCCGGGCUCAACCCGGGAAGUGCAUUUGAUACUGCUUAGCUUGAAUGUUGGAGAGGAUAGUAGAAUUCCAGGUGUAGUGGUGAAAUACGUAGAUAUCUGGAGGAAUACCGGUGGCGAAGGCGGCUAUCUGGCCAAACAUUGACGCUGAGAGACGAAAGUGCGGGGAUCAAACAG